AGUGAACGCUGGCGGUAGGCCUAACACAUGCAAGUCGAACGGCAGCACAGUAAGAGCUUGCUCGGACGGGUGGCGAGUGGCGGAGGGGUGAGGAAUACAGCGGAAUCUACUUUUUCGGGGGGGAUAACGUAGGGAAACUUACGCUAAUACGGCAUACGACCUACGGGUGAAAGCAGGGGAGCUUCGGACCUUGCGCGGUUGAAGGAGCCGAUGUCGGAUUAGCUAGUUGGCGGGGUAAAGGCCCACCAAGGCGACGAUCCGUAGCUGGUCUGAGAGGAUGAUCAGGCACACUGGAACUGAGACACGGUCCAGACUCCUACGGGAGGCAGCAGUGGGGAAUCUUGGACAAUGGGGGAAAGCCUGAUCCAGCAAUACCGCGUGGGUGAAGAAGGCCUUCGGGUUGUAAAGCCCUUUUGUUGGGAAAGAAAAGAAGCAGGUUAAUACCCCGCUGUUCUGACGGUACCCAAAGAAUAAGCACCGGCUAACUUCGUG
This 492-nucleotide ribosomal RNA is filed under the name uncultured bacterium. RNAcentral describes it as "partial 16S ribosomal RNA". It matches the Rfam family "Bacterial small subunit ribosomal RNA", at positions 29 to 507 of the family's 1533-position model. The record is from RNAcentral.